AGAAGCGUGCCCGAAUUGCAAGGAUUAUUUUGAUAAAAUAGACAUAGAGGCCACACCCUCUCACUUCUA
Molecule: transfer RNA, 69 nt
Filed under: Calotes htunwini
Lineage: Eukaryota; Metazoa; Chordata; Lepidosauria; Squamata; Agamidae
Description: tRNA-Ile
Source: RNAcentral